Molecule: ribosomal RNA, 253 nt
Filed under: uncultured bacterium
Lineage: Bacteria
Description: partial 16S ribosomal RNA
Rfam family: Bacterial small subunit ribosomal RNA
Source: RNAcentral
UACGUAGGGUGCAAGCGUUAAUCGGAAUUACUGGGCGUAAAGCGAUCGCAGGCGGUUAUGUAAGACAGAUGUGAAAUCCCAGGGCUUAACCUUGGAACUGCAUUUGUGACUGCAUGGCUAGAGUGUGUCAGAGGGGGGUGGAACUCCACGUGUAGCAGUGAAAUGCGUAGAGAUGUGGAAGAACACCGAUGGCGAAGGCAGCCCCCUGGGAUAACACUGACGCUCAGGCUCGAAAGCGUGGGGAGCAAACAGG